This 662-nucleotide long non-coding RNA is filed under the name Homo sapiens (human). RNAcentral's name for it is "non-protein coding lnc-AKT3-7:3". The record is from RNAcentral. Lineage: Eukaryota; Metazoa; Chordata; Mammalia; Primates; Hominidae.
GUGGCUCACGCCUAUAAUCCCAGCACUUUGUGAGGCCAAGGAGGGCGGAUCACUUGAGGUCAGGAGUUGAAGACCAGCCUGGCCAAUAUGGCGAAACUCUGUCUUUACUAAAAAUACAAAAAUUAGCCAGGCAUUGUGGCGGGCGCCUAUCAUCCCAACUCCUUUGGGGGCUGAGGCAAGAGAAUUACUUGAACCUGGGAGGAGGAGGUUACAGUGAGCCAAGAUUGCGCCAUUGCACUCCAGUCUGGGCGACAGAGUGAGACUCGGUCUCAAAAAAAAAAAAUCUUUGCUUAAAUAGUAGUAAAUGUUAAACUUUUCAUCUGCUACAAUCAUCUCACUGAAAAAGUUAUUGUAUUUCAUUUUAGUUUAAAUAUUUUAAUUUGAAUCUUGUUUGCUAGAUAUCAUAAUUAUUUCAUAUCAUGUUGCUAUUAAUGUAGUAAGUACCAUGUAGAUAAUAUUAAGUGUUCCAAAUAAAGUGAGAGUGAAAUUCAUUGCUUGUAAAGUGAUAACAUUUAGCUAAAAGUAGGCUAAUUUUUGUUAUUGCUUUCCCUGCAGGAGAUUUCUUCUAUCUUACAGGAACUGAAAAGAGUAGAAAAGCAGCUGCAAGCAAUCAAUGCUAUGAUUGAUCCUGAUGGAACUUUGGAGGCUCUGAACAACAUGGG